Molecule: transfer RNA, 87 nt
Filed under: Shewanella putrefaciens
Lineage: Bacteria; Pseudomonadati; Pseudomonadota; Gammaproteobacteria; Alteromonadales; Shewanellaceae
Description: tRNA-Leu
Source: RNAcentral
GAUAUUCUUGUGUGGUCCAGAACCUUAUAUGCAAUCGGUAAAAAGCAUCCUUAACGAGCUUCAGUUUGAUAUGAGCCAAUUGCACCA